RNAcentral lists this ribosomal RNA (1343 nucleotides) under uncultured bacterium. RNAcentral's name for it is "16S ribosomal RNA". It matches the Rfam family "Bacterial small subunit ribosomal RNA", at positions 28 to 1378 of the family's 1533-position model. The record is from RNAcentral.
GACGAACGCUGGCGGCGUGCUUAACACAUGCAAGUCGAACGGAAAGGCCCUGCUUUUGUGGGGUGCUCGAGUGGCGAACGGGUGAGUAACACGUGAGUAACCUGCCCUUGACUUUGGGAUAACUUCAGGAAACUGGGGCUAAUACCGGAUAGGAGCUCCUGCUGCAUGGUGGGGGUUGGAAAGUUUCGGCGGUUGGGGAUGGACUCGCGGCUUAUCAGCUUGUUGGUGGGGUAGUGGCUUACCAAGGCUUUGACGGGUAGCCGGCCUGAGAGGGUGACCGGCCACAUUGGGACUGAGAUACGGCCCAGACUCCUACGGGAGGCAGCAGUGGGGAAUAUUGCACAAUGGGCGGAAGCCUGAUGCAGCAACGCCGCGUGCGGGAUGACAGCCUUCGGGUUGUAAACCGCUUUCGCCUGUGACGAAGCGUGAGUGACGGUAAUGGGUAAAGAAGCACCGGCUAACUACGUGCCAGCAGCCGCGGUGAUACGUAGGGCGCGAGCGUUGUCCGGAUUUAUUGGGCGUAAAGGGCUCGUAGGUGGUUGAUCGCGUCGGAAGUGUAAUCUUGGGGCUUAACCCUGAGCGUGCUUUCGAUACGGGUUGACUUGAGGAAGGUAGGGGAGAAUGGAAUUCCUGGUGGAGCGGUGGAAUGCGCAGAUAUCAGGAGGAACACCAGUGGCGAAGGCGGUUCUCUGGGCCUUUCCUGACGCUGAGGAGCGAAAGCGUGGGGAGCGAACAGGCUUAGAUACCCUGGUAGUCCACGCUGUAAACGGUGGGUACUAGGUGUGGGGUCCAUUCCACGGGUUCCGUGCCGUAGCUAACGCUUUAAGUACCCCGCCUGGGGAGUACGGCCGCAAGGCUAAAACUCAAAGGAAUUGACGGGGCCCCGCACAAGCGGCGGAGCAUGCGGAUUAAUUCGAUGCAACGCGUAGAACCUUACCUGGGUUUGACAUGGAUCGGGAGUGCUCAGAGAUGGGUGUGCCUCUUUUGGGGUCGGUUCACAGGUGGUGCAUGGCUGUCGUCAGCUCGUGUCGUGAGAUGUUGGGUUAAGUCCCGCAACGAGCGCAACCCUUGUUCACUGUUGCCAGCACGUUAUGGUGGGGACUCAGUGGAGACCGCCGGGGUCAACUCGGAGGAAGGUGGGGAUGACGUCAAGUCAUCAUGCCCCUUAUGUCCAGGGCUUCACGCAUGCUACAAUGGCUGGUACAGAGAGUGGCGAGCCUGUGAGGGUGAGCGAAUCUCGGAAAGCCGGUCUCAGUUCGGAUUGGGGUCUGCAACUCGACCUCAUGAAGUCGGAGUCGCUAGUAAUCGCAGAUCAGCAACGCUGCGGUGAAUACGUUCCCGGG